This 463-nucleotide ribosomal RNA is filed under the name uncultured bacterium. RNAcentral's name for it is "partial 16S ribosomal RNA". It matches the Rfam family "Bacterial small subunit ribosomal RNA", at positions 28 to 506 of the family's 1533-position model. The record is from RNAcentral.
GACGGACGCUGGCGGCGUGCUUAACACAUGCAAGUCGAACGGAAAGGCCCCUUUGGGGGUACUCGAGUGGCGAACGGGUGAGUAACACGUGAGUAACCUGCCCUUGACUUCGGGAUAACUUCAGGAAACUGGGGCUAAUACCGGAUAGGAAUCCUUGCUGCAUGGUGGGGGUUGGAAAGCUUCGGCGGUUUUGGAUGGACUCGCGGCUUAUCAGCUUGUUGGUGGGGUAGUGGCUUACCAAGGCUUUGACGGGUAGCCGGCCUGAGAGGGCGACCGGCCACAUUGGGACUGAGAUACGGCCCAGACUCCUACGGGAGGCAGCAGUGGGGAAUAUUGCACAAUGGGCGGAAGCCUGAUGCAGCAACGCCGCGUGCGGGAUGACGGCCUUCGGGUUGUAAACCGCUUUCAGCAGGGGCGAAGCUUUUGUGACGGUACCUGCAGAAGAAGCACCGGCUAACUACGU